RNAcentral lists this ribosomal RNA (505 nucleotides) under uncultured bacterium. RNAcentral's name for it is "bacterial SSU rRNA". It matches the Rfam family "Bacterial small subunit ribosomal RNA", at positions 19 to 518 of the family's 1533-position model. The record is from RNAcentral.
CUGGCUCAGGAUGAACGCUAGCGGCAGGCUUGACACAUGCAAGUCGAGGGGCAGCGCGGGUAGCAAUACCUGGCGGCGACCGGCGAAAGGGUGAGUAACGCGUGAGCAACGUGCCCGUAUGUGGGGGAUAGUCGAUGGAAACGUCGCGUAAUACCCCGUAACACAAAUUCCCGCAUGAGGAUUUGUUGAAAGAUUUAUGCAUACGGAUCGGCUCGCGUGCCAUUAGGUAGACGGCGGGGUAACGGCCCACCGUGCCGACGAUGGCUAGGGGUUCUGAGAGGAAGGUCCCCCCACAUUGGAACUGAGACACGGUCCAGACUCCUACGGGAGGCAGCAGUGAGGAAUAUUGGACAAUGGCCGGAAGGCUGAUCCAGCCAUGCCGCGUGCGGGAAGAACCGGCCCUAUGGGUUGUAAACCGCUUUUGCGAGGGAGCAAUAAGGGCAACGUGUUGUCCGAUGAGAGUACCUCGCGAAUAAGCAUCGGCUAACUCCGUGCCAGCAGCAGC